This 102-nucleotide microRNA precursor is filed under the name Marmota monax (woodchuck). Lineage: Eukaryota; Metazoa; Chordata; Mammalia; Rodentia; Sciuridae. The record is from RNAcentral.
AGUGAGAUAGCUGGGUCAAAUGAUGGUUUCAUUCCAAGUUUUCUGAGGAAUCUGCAUACUGCUUUCCAGAGUGGUUGUACCAAUUUGCAAUCCACCAGCAAU